GACAGAGGUGGCGAGCGUUGUUCGGAUUUAUUGGGCGUAAAGAGCGCGUAGGCGGUCUUUUAAGUCGGUGGUGAAAUCCCGGGGCUUAACCCCGGAACUGCCCCCGAUACUGGAAGACUUGAGUGCGGGAGAGGAUAGUGGAAUUCCCAGUGUAGAGGUGAAAUUCGUAGAUAUUGGGAAGAACACCAGUGGCGAAGGCAGCUAUCUGGACCGCAACUGACGCUGAGGCGCGAAAGCGUGGGGAGCAAAC
RNAcentral lists this ribosomal RNA (250 nucleotides) under uncultured bacterium. Its description in RNAcentral is "partial 16S ribosomal RNA". It matches the Rfam family "Bacterial small subunit ribosomal RNA", at positions 524 to 773 of the family's 1533-position model. The record is from RNAcentral.